UCGGAUGAAUGGCUCCUUGCAUCUCAUUUUCCUGUUACCUAAAGAGAGAGUAUGCCGGGCGGAAGAACAGCUGGUGGGGCGGCUGUGUCGGAAAGUGCAUGGCAUGUGUCUAGGAGGUAUCGGGUAGGCCAGAGCGUGCCACGGCUUUCUAAAAUUGGAGGUGAUCGUCUAAGAAGCACAUCAGGCUUCCCGAUGUGGGAGGAAGAGGCAGAGCUUGCGGAUGAGACGGAAGGGCUCAACCCUGGAGAACAAGGAAUGCACAAAAAAACCAGAGGUCACAGACCCCACUGUCAGCAGACAUGUCACUUCCUCAGCUUGGACUCUGAUAAAAUGAGAAUCACGCAGCUUGCAGGUGAGUGGUCUUUCCCACGCCACGGUGUCAGACUCAAAGCCUCCAGGAAAGGCCAGGGGAAGGGGUUCUAAGGUCUUGCAGGUAAACUCGGUGCCGGGAGGAAGAACAGGAGGAGUAGAAGAAAUUGCGUUCGUGCCUGUCUCGGAGCAAGCAGGGGACGAACAGGCAGCAUGGAAAAACCCAGAGACCUUGGGAGAACUAGGAGACUAGUUCCUACCACGAACAGCCUGUAGGUCUAAUAAGUGAAGGACAUCCCCAAGGCCAGCGAGAACCGGAUGGAGGAAGCAAUUAUUUUUCCGGCCCUGCCCUCUUCAGCCUUUGAUGGUAUCUGAGG
This 686-nucleotide long non-coding RNA is filed under the name Rattus norvegicus (Norway rat). RNAcentral describes it as "long non-coding RNA NONRATT007033". Lineage: Eukaryota; Metazoa; Chordata; Mammalia; Rodentia; Muridae. The record is from RNAcentral.